This 500-nucleotide ribosomal RNA is filed under the name uncultured bacterium. RNAcentral describes it as "partial 16S ribosomal RNA". It matches the Rfam family "Bacterial small subunit ribosomal RNA", at positions 30 to 523 of the family's 1533-position model. The record is from RNAcentral.
AUUGAACGCUGGCGGCAUGCCUUACACACGCAAGUCGAACGGUAACGGGUCCUUCGGGAUGCCGACGAGUGGCGGACGGGUGAGUAAUAUAUCGGAACGUGCCCAGUAGUGGGGGAUAACUGCUCGAAAGGGCAGCUAAUACCGCAUACGACCUGAGGGUGAAAGGGGGGGAUCGCCAGACCUCGCGCUAUUGGAGCGGCCGAUAUCGGAUUAGCUAGUUGGUGGGGUAAAGGCCUACCAAGGCAACGAUCUGUAGUUGGUCUGAGAGGAUGACCAGCCACACUGGGACUGAGACACGGCCCAGACUCCUACGGGAGGCAGCAGUGGGGAAUUUUGGACAAUGGGCGAAAGCCUGAUCCAGCAAUGCCGCGUGCAGGAAGAAGGCCUUCGGGUUGUAAACUGCUUUUGUCAGGGAAGAAAUCUUCUGGGCUAAUACCCCGGGAGGAUGACGGUACCUGAAGAAUAAGCACCGGCUAACUACGUGCCAGCCGCCGCCGUAA